This 4687-nucleotide long non-coding RNA is filed under the name Varroa destructor (honeybee mite). RNAcentral's name for it is "uncharacterized LOC111249868". Lineage: Eukaryota; Metazoa; Arthropoda; Arachnida; Mesostigmata; Varroidae. The record is from RNAcentral.
CUUAGUUGACAAAACUUUGAAGUAAGAGCUUGCAAUAAUCUUCGAAUUGACAACAAACACCUAUCUGGCUAUUACUUUACGUCCUACAGUGAAAAGUAGGGCCACAAAUAAGUGUCCGUCUCGAGCUAUGUUUCAGAACCGCAAGCAAGAGAACAACUCCAUGUGAACCUCGUGAGCACCAGAGCGCAUGGAUAAUAAACUAUUGGGCGGCUCAUUAUGAAUUUCGACGAACCGUGUGUGUUGAAAUGGUAUACUCUACGAGCUUUGGUUCCGCUGACUUUGUUUCGACUCCGUCACGAUCACAGCCGUUUACUAUCGACUAGUGUAAAAUGUUAUGGCUAUUAAAAGCGGUUGAAGAUAUUUCGGUCUACAACGAUACAUACAGCUACGCAGAACUAGGAACACGGGUCUUGGCUAUUUAUAAGAUCUAUCAACAACUUCUCCUGCUGUCUAGCCUUUCGUCUUGACACCAUCUAAAUUGUCGGUCUAAGCUGACUACCUGACUCGCUUACGACUCAACGACUUUUCUGAAUUUCCUUCUUUCUUACUAUGAUUGCCUCCCUGGUAAGAGGCAGUAGCAACACAGCCGCGUGGCGGAAGAUUCGAACAAAACAGAACAACGUAGACACAACUGUGCGCGUAUUCGACAGAGCACGAGCCAGCUCGACGAGGAAGGCCCGACCCUGUUCUGUGGCCUUUGGAUUCAGUUUCACUUCGCACGUUCCGUUCGCUGAUGACAUGUGAGAUUGUGUGGGGGGUUUGAGCGUUGGCUAGGUAGGACCAGGCUGGGACGAUCUACGAGGAGUUCCCCAGGACGGGAUGUAUACGGCUCACGCUCCGCCUGCUGCUUCUGCUUUUCCGGCACCCAAGGAGCGGCUUGUCCAAAGAUCAUUCGUCCUAUAAGCGCCCGCCGCUAUCUCGACGCUAGUGCUGAUGAUGGCAGUGGCGGUUGUCGCUCGUCCGCUAAGCUGGCCGGCCGACCGACCGACCGACCGACCAACCAACCAACGCCUUCGUCGUCACUAGGACAGGAAGUCAUCAAAUUCGCUUCCUUGGGAAGCAAUGGGUACAGCGGCCCGAGCACACGGCAUGACUAUGGCAUUGCGCUCGGGGAUACGGCGGGCCACCGUCGUUGUCGGCUCCCUGUCAUUUUGUUGUUCGGCCGUCGUUGGGCUAUUCUGUGCGACGGGGAAAUCCGACAAAAGCACCGACCAAGCGCCUGAGCGAUGGUGAAUCGACAGUAAUUUGAAUAGGCGACACUGGGGACGACAAGAAAGCAAACCUUCACUGCUGCCGACGGGAUUACUGUUUCUAACAGGAAUCCCCUUCUAUUUUACAAUAGAUAGCCGACUAACUUUUUUCUUCAAUAGGACGAAACUACAGUUGAGCGUCUGCUUAAAACUGGGUGCAUGCUGUUAUAAGCGCCCCCUUUAGUGCCCUAGUGAGAGUGCUGAGGGAAUCAAGCUGCCGGUCUGCUUGUGCGGAGGUCUACAAGCUUAUCAUAAGCGUCUGCCAUGAAAUAACCAUCGUCGAAAAUUGUCAUUGGCGAAGGAUCAGUCUCGUUGCAUAAACUUUGUGCAUGGACAGUCCGUAUUUGACGGAACACUGUUCUGUGCAAACACAACACGCGACCCCCGCGAUCCGUUUCUCACGUUCGUUCUCUGUCUCAUUCACCGACACCAACAAGCUGUGCCUUUGGUUGGUUCACUCAGCGUCGGUCGGCCUACAUGCAAACAUCUCCGUGUGUUGUAAGCCCGACACCAUAUAUUAUUCGCCAUAUAAGCUUCGGUCUCUACCCGCUGCGUACUGCCUACUGGGUAUUUUAAUUUAUGAACCAUGGUAGAAAUGCGUGCAUGCAGUUAUGCCUUGAGAUGGACUCAGGAUUGAUGCCACGCAUGACCCACGGAUAUCAAGUAUUUAAACUUGGACACAACUGCCGCAUCCGUUGCAGUUAUUAAACAUCCGAACACCUUUCCGCACAUAGAGGCAGAAAGAAGAAGAGAAAGCAAGCUUACUGAAGCACAUAGUAUUGACGAUUUUAAGCGAAAGACAAGUUCUCCUUCUGAUCGAUCAAAAUUAUCAUAGAGAUAUGCCAUGGCAAAGUUAUAUAUCCGGAUAGGUCCUGAUACAUCUUUGAAGGCCUCUCAUCUAUACAGGAAACAUAAUCUCACGAUAUCUGUAUGGAAGCAGGCUGAGAGCCUGCUUGAAAAGAACUGCAUGUAAACAGUUUCCGAGCAUUUAGUGAGCAGAAACUAUACGUCGUAUAUACAUAGGUUCUAACUUACUGUUCAUAUCACUUUUUCCGCCAUUAAUCGGAGCACAGUGGCGUAAGAAAUCCAGCUGUUACGGUUCUAACGUUCGGGCUCCCCACGUUCGUUCGACGUUUUAACCAUUUCUCUCUUUCCUCAGCUCUCGUCCAGAGCCCUUUAUAUCCAGAUGUUUGGGUGACGAAGCUUUCUUUCGACACUGGCUCCAGCAGCAGCAGCAGCAACGAUGCUUGCACAGUACUCUGCAACCCUACAUAACUUUUGCAGGACUGUCCCUCUACUGCCUUGUUUCUUACUCUAAAAUUAGCAUUUCAAAAAAGCGUGCCAUGUCGCCACCUAGCUCUAUCUCGAAGAACAUAGGCAGGAAAAACAUAGGAGAAACAUAGGAGUUGAGGUUUGCGCGAGUCAAGGGCUCAGCGCGGGUUCAGGGUAACUGAGGGAAAGAUGGAGCAAACAAAUAAGAGAAAAGCGUGCUAUUUAGAAGAAAAGCGAACGCAGAGGAUGAAGAGUUCUUCUUUUCCUUUGUUCACAACAUAUUGCCCCAAGAGAUUUGCGGCGUAAACCAUCCUGUGCUCCUAGCGUGUUAUUGUUGCGGGUAUGGGGACUAGGUAUGUCUACAAAGAAGGAGAGAAAAAUAGGACUUUACAACGUUACGGAACGGUGCACGCCAGCGCUACCGAUGCUCUACUUAGACAAGUGAGUUGUAGCAGCCAAUAGUUAUGGUCGGUAAGGGUCAAUGCAAAAACCUACACUGCGUUACGGUUGAUGCAAUUGUUAGCUGAGUUGCUGGGCGAAAGGCUGGCAGAUGGCCUGUAUUGUAAGUUUGAAACUUCGCAGCACAACAAAGAAACUAGCGCAAGGGAAGACAGACCUCCGAUUGGAUAUAUUGCAGCAACUCGAAGAGAAUAAGCGUCGAAAACGAAAACAUAAGGCUGAGUACACAAAAAGAAUGCGGCAAAGUAAAGUAUACGCACUAAAGAUAGACCUGUCUACGAGAAAGAAAAAGUAUAAGCCGCAUUGGGGAGCCAGCACAUGCUAUUUGCUGGCAGCCUAUUUGGGCAAGAAGUCUAAACAGGACGUCUUCUUACAAAUAAGACAAUUUGUCGAGUAGGAGUAGGUUCAUCGGCACUGACCGGAUGACCACGGACAUACGACCCAGUGCCAUGAAACUGGAAGGCUUCGCGACUUCUGCACCUUAGUCUCUUCUUGCAUCUAUCUGCAAGUAUAUGGGCGGGCUAGCCCAUGUUAACGAUAGCGAGCAACCGAAUCUAAAGCACAUCGACCCCACGUUGAUACUCGAAGGGGACAAGGGCCGAUGUCGAGGACAGCAGUCGCACAGACAGACAUGUUCCUUCUACAUAGAAAACGUGGAUUGACUGACAGUCGCGCAAAUGGAGGCAACAACCUCCGUCUAUUGGGAGGAAUCGGGGGAGCACUAUACCGCCUUCAAGGCACGCUACCCAUGUCUCCAGUUCUGAAUCUAACCCAUCUCCCGCUCAAGGCUUGCAUGGCUGCCACCUAGCAACAACUUAAGUUAGUCCGCUUCCACUUUGUCCUUAAAAACGGUGCCGCCUUUCGUUGGAUCUGACGCUGGCGGUUACCGCCACCUUCCACUGCGCCUCUCAAAAACAGAAACGUCGUGACAGCUAAUAUUGCCAUUCAACAAUAGAAGAGGACGACGACGAUGAAGGGGAUAGGAUAGCAAAGGGGCCUCCUUUUGUUCUUGUUCUUCUUUUCCGUCCUCUUUGCUUCUUUAAGGGGAGAACGGCCCAAGACGAGAAAACCAGGAGGGUCGAAUUGGCAUAUCGACGGAACAGAGACCUGAAAGAAGAAAGCGGCGCCAAAAGAGAUAGACCGAACCGAAAAGGUCGAAUCACAGGAGAGUACAUUUCAGAAAAUUCAUUUCGACAACUUCUGCGCUCGGACCAGGCAGACCAGUCGACGGCCCGGAACCCGCCUCGCUACCAGUGAAGUCUCGCCUCCAGGCUUUUUUUGCUCGUCGCUUCCAUACUACGGCCGCAUUGCUUCUGCAGGACUGCCAAUUUUGUCCGAAAAGGUCGAGUCGGCUCGUCUGUCCAACCUGACCCUACCUAUCGAGUAGGGCGAGUUCACUCGACAGCAUACCCUGCGUGAGGAUCAGACCAGAUAGAAGCAAAACGCAACAGGAUGCCAAUAUCGAACGCAUGAUACAGCAAGGCGCAUCUGAACAUGUCGAGCCUCAAAAAAAGGGAAGAUCGAAAGCCUGAGGGUCUGAGGACCCGUGCUCUUAUAGGGAGAGGGGUGGUAAGAAACGUUGAUCCCAGCAAGCCCACCCUGAUUUUUUACUUUGUUAACACCCAGUGUAUGUACAGGUAGAAUAUGAGUCGCGAACGUAGAUCAGAGAAAUAACUAUUAUAUGGAAGAAGUAUAUAUAAGAGACU